Molecule: long non-coding RNA, 228 nt
Filed under: Medicago truncatula (barrel medic)
Lineage: Eukaryota; Viridiplantae; Streptophyta; Magnoliopsida; Fabales; Fabaceae
Description: lncRNA gene47779
Source: RNAcentral
GUCCCAUUCACGAAGAUGCAGAUAAAGCAGCAGUUGGCCUCCAUCAUCAACGACUCCGAUAGCACUUCUCGAAUUUGAAUUUAAAUCAUCCGUAGCAAGACUUGUGGCAGUGCCAUCUAAAAUCAAAACAUUUUUUUUUUAAGUUUAGAGAUAUCUCACAAACACAAAUAACAAAUUAGAGAAUCAGUCAACUUUAUGCUCAUACAUUAUUGAAACCGUAUAUCGAUA